This 1203-nucleotide ribosomal RNA is filed under the name metagenome. RNAcentral's name for it is "SSU rRNA". It matches the Rfam family "Eukaryotic small subunit ribosomal RNA", at positions 558 to 1790 of the family's 1831-position model. The record is from RNAcentral.
AGUCUGGUGCCAGCAGCCGCGGUAAUUCCAGCUCCAAUAGCGUAUAUUAAAGUUGUUGCAGUUAAAAAGCUCGUAGUUGAAAUUUUGAUUGUAGCGGUCAGUCUCACAACAGUGAGUGCUAGAUGUGCUGUGGUCAUGUUUCGUUGGAACGUGUGUGGCAUUGAGUUGUCGUGCAUGGGAAGACGAUCGUUUACUGUGAAAAAAUUAGAGUGUUCAAAGCAGGCUUAUGCCGUUGAAUAUAUUAGCAUGGAAUAAUAAGAUAGGACCAGGGUACUAUUUUGUUGGUUUGUGCACCUUGGUAAUGAUUAAUAGGGACAGUUGGGGAUAUUCGUAUUGCGGUGUCAGAGGUGAAAUUCUUGGAUUUCCGCAAGACGAGCUACUGCGAAAGCAUUUAUCAAGGAUGUUUUCAUUAAUCAAGAACGAAAGUUAGGGGAUCGAAGAUGAUUAGAUACCAUCGUAGUCUUAACCAUAAACUAUGCCGACAAGGGAUUGGCAGGGUGUGUUUAUGCCUCUGUCAGCACCUUAGGAGAAAUCAUAAGUUUUUGGGUUCCGGGGGGAGUAUGGUCGCAAGGCUCAAACUUAAAGACAUUGACGGAAGGGCACCACCAGGAGUGGAGCCUGCGGCUUAAUUUGACCCAACACGGGAAAACUUACCAGGUCCAGACAUAGUGAGGAUUGACAGAUUGAGAGCUCUUUCUUGAUUCUAUGGGUGGUGGUGCAUGGCCGUUCUUAGUUGGUGGAGUGAUUUGUCUGGUUAAUUCCGUUAACGAACGAGACCCCCGCCUGCUAAAUAGAUGGUCUAGUGAUUUUUCACUGGAAACAUCUUCUUAGAGGGACGUGCGUUCUAUUAGACGCAGGAAGAUGGGGGCAAUAACAGGUCUGUGAUGCCCUUAGAUGUCCUGGGCCGCACGCGCGCUACACUGAUGCAUUCAACGAGUUGCCUUCACCGAGAGGUGUGGGAAAUCUUGGAAUGUGCAUCGUGAUAGGGAUAGAUUCUUGUAAUUUUUAAUCUUGAACGAGGAAUUCCUAGUAAACGCAGAUCAUCAAUCUGCAUUGAUUACGUCCCUGCCCUUUGUACACACCGCCCGUCGCACCUACCGAUUGAAUGGUCCGGUGAAGCCUCGGGAUUGUGAUGACUUUUCUUCAUUGAGAGGUCGUUGCGAGAACUUGUCUAAACCUUAUCAUUUAGAGGAAGGUGAAGUC